This 492-nucleotide ribosomal RNA is filed under the name uncultured bacterium. Its description in RNAcentral is "partial 16S ribosomal RNA". It matches the Rfam family "Bacterial small subunit ribosomal RNA", at positions 29 to 507 of the family's 1533-position model. The record is from RNAcentral.
AGUGAACGCUGGCGGUAGGCCUAACACAUGCAAGUCGAACGGCAGCACAGUAAGAGCUUGCUCUUACGGGUGGCGAGUGGCGGACGGGUGAGGAAUACAUCGGAAUCUACUUUUUCGUGGGGGAUAACGUAGGGAAACUUACGCUAAUACCGCAUACGACCUACGGGUGAAAGCAGGGGAUCUUCGGACCUUGCGCGAUUGAAUGAGCCGAUGUCGGAUUAGCUAGUUGGCGGGGUAAAGGCCCACCAAGGCGACGAUCCGUAGCUGGUCUGAGAGGAUGAUCAGCCACACUGGAACUGAGACACGGUCCAGACUCCUACGGGAGGCAGCAGUGGGGAAUAUUGGACAAUGGGCGCAAGCCUGAUCCAGCCAUGCCGCGUGGGUGAAGAAGGCCUUCGGAUUGUAAAGCCCUUUUGUUGGGAAAGAAAAGCAGCAGGUUAAUACCCCACUGUUCUGACGGUACCCAAAGAAUAAGCACCGGCUAACUUCGUG